RNAcentral lists this ribosomal RNA (253 nucleotides) under uncultured bacterium. Its description in RNAcentral is "partial 16S ribosomal RNA". It matches the Rfam family "Bacterial small subunit ribosomal RNA", at positions 524 to 776 of the family's 1533-position model. The record is from RNAcentral.
UACAGAGGAUGCAAGCGUUAUCCGGAAUGAUUGGGCGUAAAGCGUCUGUAGGUGGCUUUUUAAGUCCGCCGUCAAAUCCCAGGGCUCAACUCUGGACAGGCGGUGGAAACUACCAAGCUAGAGUUCGGCAGAGGGAAGCGGAAUUUCCGGUGUAGCGGUGAAAUGCGUAGAUAUCGGAAGGAACAUCAGUGGCGAAAGCGGCUUCCUGGACCAGAACUGACGAUCAGGCUCGAAAGCGUGGGGAGCAAACAGG